AAUAUUUUUCGCGAGAAGAAAUUACUAAUCAAAAGUACGAUUCCUACCUUAAAAUCGAGAACUUUUGCGAGUUGCUCUCUCUCUUUCUCUCUCUGAGAGAUGUUUGCUGCGAAAAAAUAUUAUUCAGAGUAACUUAACUUAGAAUUUUACUUUCAAAUAUAUUCGUACUCCGACCGUCGAAAGAUUACCAAGAGGACCAUUCAACGAUGGGCCGGAACCAUCCAUCAGAGGUCCGAUAGAGCAUCAAGGAUGCUGGAUGUGGUGGAGCGAAGAUACCAGGGAACGAGAAAUCUCGAAAUAACAAAAGAC
Molecule: long non-coding RNA, 309 nt
Organism: Apis dorsata (giant honeybee)
Lineage: Eukaryota; Metazoa; Arthropoda; Insecta; Hymenoptera; Apidae
Exons: 3
Source: RefSeq, a predicted model, not a curated record